This 503-nucleotide ribosomal RNA is filed under the name uncultured bacterium. RNAcentral describes it as "partial 16S ribosomal RNA". It matches the Rfam family "Bacterial small subunit ribosomal RNA", at positions 28 to 523 of the family's 1533-position model. The record is from RNAcentral.
GAUGAACGCUAGCGGCAGGCCUAACACAUGCAAGUCGAGGGGUAGCAGGAUUAAGCUUGCUUAAUUGCUGACGACCGGCGCACGGGUGCGUAACGCGUAUGCAACCUACCUUAUACUGGGGUAUAGCCCGGAGAAAUUCGGAUUAAUCCCCCAUAGUACUAAUGAAUCGCAUGGUUUAUUAGUUAAAGCAUUGCGGUAUAAGAUGGGCAUGCGUCCUAUUAGCUAGAUGGUGAGGUAACGGCUCACCAUGGCCACGAUAGGUAGGGGGCCUGAGAGGGUUGGCCGCCACACUGGUACUGAGAGACGGACCAGACUCCUACGGGAGGCAGCAGUGAGGAAUAUUGGUCAAUGGGCGCAAGCCUGAACCAGCCAUGCCGCGUGCAGGAAGAAUGCCCUAUGGGUUGUAAACUGCUUUUAUUUGGGAAUAAACCUCUUUACGUGUAGAGAGCUGAAGGUACCAAAUGAAUAAGCACCAGCUAACUCCGUGCCAGCCGCCGCCGUAA